RNAcentral lists this transfer RNA (51 nucleotides) under Aacanthocnema dobsoni. RNAcentral's name for it is "tRNA-Phe". Lineage: Eukaryota; Metazoa; Arthropoda; Insecta; Hemiptera; Triozidae. The record is from RNAcentral.
AUUUCUAAAUAGUUUAAAAAGAACAAAAUUUUGAAGAAGUUUAAGUAGUUA